Molecule: transfer RNA, 71 nt
Filed under: Ophiognomonia clavigignenti-juglandacearum
Lineage: Eukaryota; Fungi; Ascomycota; Sordariomycetes; Diaporthales; Gnomoniaceae
Description: tRNA-Arg
Rfam family: tRNA
About the family: Transfer RNA (tRNA) molecules are approximately 80 nucleotides in length.
Source: RNAcentral
GGUGUAUUAGUUUAAUGGUAGAACUUGGCGUUUCGGCCGUUGUAGUACCAGUUCGAAUCUGGUAUACACUU